This 576-nucleotide ribosomal RNA is filed under the name uncultured bacterium. RNAcentral's name for it is "bacterial SSU rRNA". It matches the Rfam family "Bacterial small subunit ribosomal RNA", at positions 167 to 763 of the family's 1533-position model. The record is from RNAcentral.
UGCUCUAUAUGCCNUUAAGACAUAAGUCUGCAUNGGAAAUAUUUAUAGCUUUGGGAUGAGACUGUACGGUAUCANUUUGUUGGUGAGGUAAUGGCCCACCAAGACUAUGACGCCUAACUGGUUUGAGAGGAUGAUCANUCACACUGGAACUGAGACACGGUCCAGACUCCUACGGGAGGCAGCAGUGGGGAAUAUUGCACAAUGGACGAAAGUCUGAUGCAGCAACGCCGCGUGGAGGAUGACACAUUUCGGUGCGUNAACUCCUUUUAUAUGAGAAGAUAAUGACGGUAUCAUAUGAAUAAGCACCGGCUAACUUCGUGCCAGCAGCCGCGGUAAUACGAGGGGUGCAAGCGUUACUCGGAAUCACUGGGCGUAAAGAGCAUGUAGGCGGGUAGUUAAGUUGGAAGUGAAAUCCUAUGGCUCAACCAUAGAACUGCCUCCAAAACUGAUUAUCUAGAGUAUGGGAGAGGUAGAUGGAAUUUCUGGUGUAGGGGUAAAAUCCGUAGAGAUCAGAAGGAAUACCGAUUGCGAAGGCGAUCUACUGGAACAUUACUGACGCUAAGAUGCGAAAGCGUG